RNAcentral lists this non-coding RNA (394 nucleotides) under Myotis brandtii (Brandt's bat). RNAcentral's name for it is "Eukaryotic large subunit ribosomal RNA". It matches the Rfam family "Eukaryotic large subunit ribosomal RNA", at positions 1222 to 1688 of the family's 3401-position model. Lineage: Eukaryota; Metazoa; Chordata; Mammalia; Chiroptera; Vespertilionidae. The record is from Rfam by way of RNAcentral.
UGUUGGUUGAUAGGGACAGCAGGACGGGGGUCAUGGAAGUCGGAAUCCGCUAAGGAGUGUGUGUAACAACUCACCUGCGGAAUCAACUAGCCCUGAAAACGGAUGGCGCCGGUGCCGCGGGCCCAUACCCGGCUGUAGUUCUUCCAAGGAGAACUUGGAAGGCCAAAGUGGAGAAGGGUUCCAUGGGAACAGCAGUUGAACACGGGCCAGUCGGUCCCGAGAGAUGGGCGAGCGCCGUUCCGAGGGGACCGGCAAUGGCCUCCCUUGCCAUCAGCCGAUCGAAAGGGAGUCGGGUUCAGAUCCCCGAAUCCCGAGUGGCGGAGACGUGCGCCGCGAGGCGUCUAGUGCGGUAACUCAACCGACCCGGGAGAAGCCCGCGGAGGCCCCAGGGAGA